Molecule: long non-coding RNA, 1120 nt
Organism: Lates calcarifer (barramundi perch)
Lineage: Eukaryota; Metazoa; Chordata; Actinopteri; Centropomidae
Exons: 4
Source: RefSeq, a predicted model, not a curated record
CCAAAAUGUAACUGCGCCACAACGAAGAUGCCGCCAUUCCGCUCUCCGGUCUUUGAGACUAAAGAGAAGGCUGAUUUGGAAUUGCGCUUUGGUUGAUCUGUGUUGGUGGCUCCUUGGAGACUUAAACGUGUCCAGCUGUGUGCCAACCUCUACCCUCUACUCUUGACCUGACGGGGCUAUCGGGGUCACACACCACUUUCCUGUCCCAUCUCAACUCAACACUAAUUUUGAGCCAAUCUAUCUCUCUUGUCCCAUCUCCUCAUUUCUAUGUAAAUUAAGGUUUUCUAUCUUCUGUACCCCUUCUGUCCUCUCUAUCUCAUUUUGGGUAAAUGGAGAUAUUUUUGGAGCAUCUUUGAUCUGGGUCGAUGAUUGUUUCUACAAACUAUAUUUUAUGAACUGAAGGUUUCUGCUGAGCUUUGUCAUUGUGAUGUUUGGGUCUGUGAGUCUCUGCUCACACAAUCUCUCCUCUCCUCUGUCCUUAGUUUGAUAUUUUCUACAAAUUGGCAACAACCUGAUUUUCCACAUAUAUAGUUAAAACAUUUGUUGUGGAAAAAUAAUUAAUCUAAAUAAUUGAGUAAACUGCUCUUUUAAAAAAAUCUCUCUGGUCAUUCAAUUAAAGCAGUUUCAUUUUUGUCAUAAUGGAUUGACACAAAUAAUACUUUACUAUAUACUAUAUUCCUGAAUACAUUAUUGUACAGAAUAAAACAUCACAUUUCUCUGUGGGAAAUAUAUAGAAACAAUAAUUAUUAACUGAAGUCAAAACCACAUCUGUACCUAAGAAUCAGUUCAUUGUACAGAGAUCAACUAAAAACAUUCUUCAUCUGCAAAUACAUUAAUAUAAGAAUAGAGUGCUUAUUUUAAGUUAUUUCAUUCUUGAGAUAAAUAUACAUUCAUAUAAAUCAAAACUAAUUAGAUUGAAAAACUUUUCAAGUAUAAGAGCACUGUAUCUAGAUCUCAGUCUGUUCCUGUUGAUUCAUUGUGGACUGCUGCUCAGAGGUUUGUACUCAGGUUUGUGAUGACUGAAAAUAUUUGUCCACAACUACAUUUUUUCUAAUAUUCAGUGUGUACAAGUGUUUUGUUGUUGUUUAACCUGUUGAUACGUCAAUAAACUGAAAGACAU